This 253-nucleotide ribosomal RNA is filed under the name uncultured bacterium. Its description in RNAcentral is "partial 16S ribosomal RNA". It matches the Rfam family "Bacterial small subunit ribosomal RNA", at positions 524 to 776 of the family's 1533-position model. The record is from RNAcentral.
UACGGAGGGUGCGAGCGUUGUCCGGAUUUAUUGGGUUUAAAGGGUGCGUAGGCGGCCGUCUAAGUCCGGGGUGAAAGCCCGUUGCUCAACAACGGAACUGCCCUGGAUACUGGCCGGCUUGAGUCCAGGCGAGGUUGGCGGAAUGGACGGAGUAGCGGUGAAAUGCAUAGAUACCGGCCAGACCCCCGAUUGCGAAGGCAGCUGACUAGGCUGGUACUGACGCUGAGGCACGACAGCGUGGGGAGCGAACAGG